This 254-nucleotide ribosomal RNA is filed under the name uncultured bacterium. RNAcentral describes it as "partial 16S ribosomal RNA". It matches the Rfam family "Bacterial small subunit ribosomal RNA", at positions 524 to 776 of the family's 1533-position model. The record is from RNAcentral.
UACGGGGGGAGCAAGCGUUGUUCGGAUUUACUGGGCGUAAAGGGCGCGUAGGCGGUCAGCACAAGUCAGUUGUGAAAUCUCCGAGCUUAACUCGGAAAGGUCAACUGAUACUGUGCGACUAGAGUGCGGAAGGGGCAACUGGAAUUCUUGGUGUAGCGGUGAAAUGCGUAGAUAUCAAGAGGAACACCUGCGGCGAAGGCGGGUUGCUGGGCCGACACUGACGCUGAUGUGCGAAAGCUAGGGUAGCAAACGGG